Molecule: long non-coding RNA, 232 nt
Organism: Alosa alosa (allis shad)
Lineage: Eukaryota; Metazoa; Chordata; Actinopteri; Clupeiformes; Clupeidae
Exons: 3
Source: RefSeq, a predicted model, not a curated record
GUUUUACUUCGCCCUUUCUGUUGUGACUACUAUGCUCCUUGCUUGUCCUACUAAGCACACCCAAGCUCAAGGUAUUCCAACACCUGAAGUGAAAGUGGUCCCUGCUUACAUCCGACAGUCUGACUCUGUCAAUCUGACUUGUGAGACAUCUCUGUCUCCUUUGUCUUAUUGUUAUUUCUGCACAACACUUCAAAACUGUGACUGGAAGGGCUCUGAUUCAUGCAGAUUGGCA